This is a non-coding RNA of Megalopta genalis, 388 nucleotides long. Lineage: Eukaryota; Metazoa; Arthropoda; Insecta; Hymenoptera; Halictidae. The record is from RefSeq and is a predicted model, not a curated record.
AAUGAAGUACAUUGUUACUUUUUGUUUCUGUGUUAUGUUUUUGUGGUACUGUUUAAAAGUAUACAAAAGCUUGAUUGUGUACAAGUUAAAAUCCAGAGAAAACAUGGCAUAUCGGUAAUUCCCUCUGGAACCUUGAGGCCUCUCCUAGUAUAGCCAAAACUGGCUUGUAUAACAUGUAGAGCAGCUUCGACGGUGAGGUUUACAUCACGCGAAUUACCAAUUUGAGGAUUUACUUCUACGAGAUCUACUGCAUUCAAUCUGCGAGUCCUAUACAAUUCUUCCAUUAGAUGGACAGCUUCCCUGAGGGUCAAUCCUCCACGCACUAAAAUUAUAAAAUCACCAUUAAAUGUCCUUAGAUAUUAAUAAAAGAGAGAAUUUCAUUUACCAA